AUGCGCCGUCAUCUCGACCUGCUCCCCCGCCUCCUCCUCCGCCGCCACGUCCACCGCCGCGCCAGUCCCGGGGCCUCGCCGCUCCCGCCCCCGCCGCCCAACCCGCCGCGCCCGCCGCAGAAGCCCGAGCCCGUCACCAUCCACGGGGAGACGUGGCACGACAGCUACGCCUGGAUGGGCUCGCUCUCCGACGCCGCCGCCAUGCGCCACAUGGACGUCCACAUGGAGGCCGAGGAGAAGUACGCCGAGGCCUGCCUCGCCGCCGCCGGCGCCGACCGCCUCGCCCGCAAGCUCCAGCUCGAGAUGGCCUCCCGCCUCGCCUCCGACGCCUGCACGCCGCCCGCCCGCUGGGGCCCCUGGCUCUACUACCGCCGAGCGGACGAGGGCAAGCAGUACCCCGUGCUCUGCCGCCGCUCCGCCGCCCUCCAUGGGGAGUUCGUCUCCUACAGCGACCCCUCCGCGGGGUUCGACUUCACCGCUGGGAAGCGCAUCGAACAGAAAUUGGUGGAUUACAACAAGGAAGCCGAGCGAUUCGGAGGAUACUCAUAUGAGGAGCUAUCAGAAGUUUCUCCAGAUCACCGCUUCAUUGCGUACACCAUGUAUGACAAAGAUAAGGAUUCUUUCACUUUAAUGGUCAGGGAUCUGGUGACGGGCACACUAUGUGAUAAACCUCGUGCUGAUCGGGUCUCAAAUAUUUCAUGGGCUAUGGAUGGGAAAGCGCUGGUUUAUAUUGUUACAAAUGAGGAUAGAAGACCAUAUAGGCUGUUUUGCAGCAUUAUUGGAUCAAACAAGGAUGAUAUUCUUAUAUUGGAAGAACCUGAUGAGAAUAUUUAUUUGAAUAUCAGACAUACGAAGGAUUUUCGGUUUAUAACAUUAAAUGUCUUUUCAGACACGCACUCAAAGGUAUAUUUAAUAAGGGCUUCUGACCCCUUGUCCAGAAUGACACUGGUAUGGGAAGGUGAAUCCCAAGUUCAUUGCAUUGUGGAGCAUCAUCAUGGACGCCUGUAUUUAUUCACAGAUGCUGCAAGAGAAGGUGUCUGUGUUAAUUCGCAUUACCUAAUGCAGUGUGAUGUGGAAUCUCCUGGGCCAAAGAGUUGGAAGAAUGUUUUCCUUGAGGAACCAGGUAUUAUUCUUGAAGAUGUUGACUUUUGCAAUACUCAUAUGGUGCUUAUUCUGAGACAAGGCAGAAAACUCAGACUUUGUUCAGUUAAUCUGCCUCUACCUGAAAAUAUUCAAGUACCUGCUCAUCUAUCAGAUUUUCACCCACUUGACUUGCCUCUUCCCAAUCAUGUGUGUCAGAUUUUAUCUGGCCCAAAUUAUGACUACUAUUCCUCAACAAUGCGUUUCACAAUAUCAUCACCCGUGAUGCCAGAUGCAGUUGUUGAUUACAACUUACUAAGUGGAAAGUGGCAAAUGGUGCAACAGCAAAACAUGCUUCAUGAGAGAACAAAGGUACUGUAUGGGAAUGCUUUUGCUUCUAAUGCGGGCAAGCUGUCUUCAGAUGGAGCUGAUUUGUCAAGUGAAGAUUUGGGAGAUUGUGACUGGAACGAGCUCUCUGAAUACUAUGCAUGUGAGUACUAUGAUGUUCCAUCGAAGGACGGAGUUUUGAUUCCACUCACCUUGGUAUAUUCACGAAAGCACAAGCAAGAGGGGAAUCCAGGAUUACUUCAUGGGCAUGGUGCUUAUGGUGAGAUUCUGGAUAAGCGUUGGCGUAGUGAGUUAAAGAGCCUACUCGAUCGUGGUUGGGUGAUUGCAUAUGCUGAUGUUAGGGGUGGUGGAGGUUAUGGCAAGGAGUGGCACCGGGAUGGUGCACGUACCAAAAAGAUGAAUUCUAUAUAUGAUUUUGUCUCUUGUGGUGAAUUUCUUCUUGAAAAAGGUAUCAUACAAGAAAAUAAGCUUGCUGGAUGGGGAUACAGUGCUGGAGGACUUCUGGUGGCUUCGGCAAUCAAUACUCGUCCAGAUUUGUUCCGUGCCGCUGUUUUAAAGGUCCCUUUCUUGGAUGUUUGCAACACACUGCUCCAUCCUAUUCUACCUCUUACAGCCAUUGAUUAUGAAGAGUUUGGAUUUCCUGUGGACCAUGAAGAAUUCCUUUCAAUCAAGAAGUAUUCUCCCUAUGAUAAUAUCCAGAAGGAUGUUCCUUACCCAGCUGUGUUUGUGACAUCAUCAUUUAAUACAAGGUUUGGUGUAUGGGAAGCAGCUAAAUGGGUUGCAAAAGUCCGUGAACUUACUCAAUAUGAUCCGGAGCGGCCUGUAAUUCUCAACUUGACAACAGAUGUUGUGGAAGAAAGCAAGUAUUUGGAAACCAAGGAAUUAGCAACGGAGACUGCUUUCCUAAUUAAAAUGGUGAACAAUACCUGA
This 2358-nucleotide ribosomal RNA is filed under the name Triticum aestivum (bread wheat). RNAcentral's name for it is "partial small subunit ribosomal RNA". The record is from RNAcentral. Lineage: Eukaryota; Viridiplantae; Streptophyta; Magnoliopsida; Poales; Poaceae.